AGAGUUUGAUCCUGGCUCAGAACGAACGCUGGCGGCAGGCUUAACACAUGCAAGUUGAGCGGGAUUGGUUGGUAGCUUGCUACGAACCAUGAGAGCAGCGCACUGGUGAGUAACACGUGGGAACAUACCUUUUGGUGGGGGGACAACAGUUGGAAACGACUGCUAAUACCGCAUAAGCCCUAAGGGGGAAAGAUUAAUUGCCGAAAGAUUGGCCCGCGGAAGAUUAGGUAGUAGGUGGGGUAACGGCCUACCUAGCCGACGAUCUAUAGCUGGUCUGAGAGGACGAUCAGCCACAUUGGAACUGAGACACGGUCCAGACUCCUACGGGAGGCAGCAGUGAGGAAUAUUGGGCAAUGGAGGCAACUCUGACCCAGCCAUGCCGCGUGAGUGAAGAAGGUUUUCGGAUUGUAAAGCUCUUUCAGACGGGAAGAUGAUGACGGUACCGUCAGAAGAAGCACCGGCUAACUUCGUGCC
Molecule: ribosomal RNA, 474 nt
Filed under: uncultured bacterium
Lineage: Bacteria
Description: bacterial SSU rRNA
Rfam family: Bacterial small subunit ribosomal RNA
Source: RNAcentral